CCAAGGAGUCUAACAUGUGCGCGAGUCGCCGGGACUUGUACAGGCCCGGAGGCGAAGUGAAAGCAGAACACGAGCCGUGAUCCCCCCACUAAGAUGGGGGGCGCAGCGGCGGCCCGUCCCGCUCGCCUCGGCGUGCGGGCGGAGUCUGAGCGCACACGUUGGUACCCGAAAGAUGGUGAACUAUGCACGGCCAGGUCGAAGCCAGAGGAAACUCUGCUGGAGGACCGAAGCGGUUCUGACGUGCAAAUCGAUCGUCAGAGUCGUGUAUAGGGGUGAAAGGCCAAUCGAACCAUCUAGUAGCUGGUUCCUCCCGAAGUUUCCCUCAGGAUAGCUGGCACUCAGGAAACUCAGUCUCAUGCCGUAAAGCGAAUGAUUAGAGGCAUUGGGACCGAAACGAUCUCAACCUAUUCUCAAACUUUGAAUGCGUGAGAAGUCCGGCCUUUCAGCCUAGAUCCUCUGAGAAGGUCGGACAACAAGAUGAGAGUGCCCAGUGGGCCAUUUUUGGUAAGCAGAACUGGCGCUGUGGGAUGAACCAAACGCUGGGUUACGGUGUCCGAUGCUCAGACGCUCAUCAGACCCCAUAAAAGGUGUUGGUUGCUAUAGACAGCAGGACGGUGGCCAUGGAGGUUGGAAUCCGCUAAGGAGUGUGUAACAACUCACCUGCCGAAGCAACUAGCCCUGAAAAUGGAUGUCGCUCAAGCGUCGAACCCAUACCCGGCCGAUGACCCAGAACCGGUCUGAUCCUCCGGAUAAUUAGGGGUCAUCGAGUAGGGAGGCGCUGCGAGGAGCGCGGAAGCGUCGCUCGUAAGAGGGCGUGGAGCCCCCGCAGGUGCAGAUCUUGGUGGUAGUAGCAAAUAGUCGAGAAGGAACCUUGACGACUGGAGCCGGAGAAGGUUUCCAUGUGAACAGCAGUUGAACAUGGGUCAGUCGGUCCUAAGGGAUCGGCCAAAGGCCGUUCAGAAGGGGGACCUUAUCCAAGGUGAGUCCCCCUCGCCCGAAAGGUAGUGGGGUUAAUAUUCCCCAACCCGCACACGGAGAUCGGGACUUCGGUCCCAAGAGCGGUAACGCAACCGAACUCGGAGACGCCGGCGGAGGACCCGGGGAAGAGUUAUCUUUUCUUUGUAAGGGUUCAUGUCCCUGGAACCGGCUCGUCCGGAGAUAGGGAUGUCGUUCCCGUAAAAGCACCGCGGCUCUCGCGGUGUCCGGUCAGCUUCUGUCGGCCCUUGAAAAUCCGAGGGAGUGAGUGUGAUUUUCGUGGCGGGCCGUACCUAUAUCCGCAGCAGGUCUCCAA
RNAcentral lists this ribosomal RNA (1291 nucleotides) under Nurscia albomaculata. Its description in RNAcentral is "partial 28S ribosomal RNA". It matches the Rfam family "Eukaryotic large subunit ribosomal RNA", at positions 666 to 1870 of the family's 3401-position model. The record is from RNAcentral. Lineage: Eukaryota; Metazoa; Arthropoda; Arachnida; Araneae; Titanoecidae.